AUUGAACGCUGGCGGCAUGCCUUACACAUACAAGUCGAACGGCAGCGGACCUUCGGGUGCCGGCGAGUGGCGAACGGGUGAGUAAUAUAUCGGAACGUACCUUUCAGUGGGGGAUAACGUAGCGAAAGUUACGCUAAUACCGCAUAUCUGUGAGCAGGAAAGCAGGGGAUCGCAAGACCUUGCGCUGAUUGAGCGGCCGAUAUCAGAUUAGCUAGUUGGUGAGGUAAAGGCUCACCAAGGCGACGAUCUGUAGCGGGUCUGAGAGGAUGAUCCGCCACACUGGAACUGAGACACGGUCCAGACUCCUACGGGAGGCAGCAGUGGGGAAUUUUGGACAAUGGGCGCAAGCCUGAUCCAGCCAUGCCGCGUGAGUGAAGAAGGCCU
This 384-nucleotide ribosomal RNA is filed under the name uncultured bacterium. RNAcentral describes it as "bacterial SSU rRNA". It matches the Rfam family "Bacterial small subunit ribosomal RNA", at positions 30 to 417 of the family's 1533-position model. The record is from RNAcentral.